GUCUUUGUGGCUCAAUCAGUUAGCGCGUUCGGCUGUUAACUGAAAGGUUGGUGGUUCAAGCCCACCCAGGGACG
Non-coding RNA from Danio rerio (zebrafish), 74 nucleotides. NCBI's taxonomy places the organism in Eukaryota, Metazoa, Chordata, Actinopteri, Cypriniformes, Danionidae. The record is from Rfam.